Non-coding RNA from Nerophis lumbriciformis (worm pipefish), 2069 nucleotides. NCBI's taxonomy places the organism in Eukaryota, Metazoa, Chordata, Actinopteri, Syngnathiformes, Syngnathidae. The record is from the annotation of a RefSeq genome assembly.
GAAUGCAGGAGUUUGCAGUGACCAUUUCAUUAAAGGUUUGUUUGAUACACUUUUAACGUUUGUGUUUCUCAUUUAAGUAUUAUCUUGAUAUUACUUGUGUUUUUUAAAACACAUAUUGCUACGAGUGUUUCGAAAAGCACCAACUUGGCGAGUCUAACAUUGACAUUGGGAUCCUCCUGGUUUAACAUGAAGGUGCUGUGCCCUCAUCCUCACUGCAUCUCAGCCCAUUCACACUGAGAAUCAUCAUUUCGGGAGAAGUUGUGAUGGACAACAUUCAAGACCUGCCAAAAGCUGUGUGCAUUCUCUUGUACCCAACGUCCAUGAAGUAAAAAUUUCCAGUUCAUCCAACAGUGCCUCCCUCUUUGGGAUUACGCCCCGCCUCCUCAGCCACCAAGUCAACGUGCACAGAGCCCAGGAGUGCAAACAUGAAGCGUGCAUUGGUGUGUGUGCUGAUGGCUGCCUGGAGCCUCGGAUGUGACAGCCAGACGGUGCACCAGCCAGCAGAGAAUGUGUACGCCAUGAAAGGCGACUCAGUGACGCUGGACUGCAGCUAUGAAAAUUAUGGAAGCAACGACUACAUCUUCUGGUACAAACAGGACGGGCAGGCGGCACCAAAGUUCAUCCUGAGGCUCUCCAUAAUGAGUCAGGGCAAGACUGAGAGCAGCUUUGAAAAGAGGUUCAGCUGCAGCAUCAAUGACAUCGCCAAGCGAGCUCCUCUGAAGAUCCAAGACGUGCAGCUGAGCGACUCUGCUAUCCUCUACUGCGCCAUCCAGCCCACAAUGACUGACAUCUCUGCUGCACCCGCACAAAAACCUAUAUGGGCUCCUCAUCCCACUGUGGCUGUUUGAGAGCUGGUUCUGAGGAGGUUUUCACAAUUUUUGUCGUUGUCAGGACAUCAUAGGCGUGGCAAACUGGAGAUGUUUUUAUUUACAUAUCUUAAUUGUUUCCAAUUCAUGUUUGUAGCACGGCAGUAAAGGGCUGAUCAAACACAACAGAAGUCAUCAUAAUAGACUGCGGAAGCUAGUUCUCCAUCAGCUAAACAGACUCAAUCAGUCCACGAAGACGUUUUAGUGAAUUUAUUGAGGAAUUUGUGAAACUGAAACUGCCCCUGAAAAAGAAACUCUCUGGGUGCCAAUGAUCUGUACAUUAGAGUAAAUCACCUUCGCAGGUCUGUCUCUGCUAUACCUAUCAUCAGACCGGGUACAUCUUUCUUUAACCUAUUAUCUACAUCUUUCUGUGGCCAUUUGUUUGGUUUUAAAUGACAUCACGUCCUGCUAACGUACCGCUCAUCAAAUAUGCGUGAUGGUCAAGCCAGCGUCUGUUCUCAAUGGGAAAUAGGCGGCAUUCAGCCUAUCUCGAAGAAAAAUGCCCUAUUCUUGCGUUGUUUUCGGCUGUACAAACUAUUUUCACCGCAAAAAGGAUAAAAGUUUCUUCAGCGUUCCUCGAGUGGUGAUAUAGAUAAACAGAAGAGUGCAAGAUUUUACAAAAUGACGACGAAAAAAGUAGCACGCACUCCAGUCCAAGGGAGCAGAGUCGAAGUAUGCAGGAGUUUGCAGUGACCACUUGAUUAAAGGUUUGUUUGAUACACUUUUAACGUUUGUGUUUCCCAUUUAAGUAUUAUCUUGAUAAUACUUGUAUUUUUUUUUAAACAUUUUGCUACGACUGUUUCAAAAAGCACGAACUCCGCAAGUCUAACCUUGACAUUGGGAUCCUCCUGGUUUAACAUGAAGGUGCUGUGCCCUCAUCCUCACUGCAUCUCAGCCCAGCCACACUGAGAAUCAUCAUUUAGGGAGAAGUUGUGAUGGACAACAUUCAAGACCUGCCAAAAGCUGUGUGCAUUCUCUUGUACCCAACGUCCAUGAAGUAAAAAUUUCCAGUUCAUCCAACAGGUACUUUUCGAGCUUGGCCAUGGUGAACUGAAACCAAAAUGACCAUUUUCUGGAUUAUGGAGUGCACCAGAAAAUAAGCCACCUCCACAUUUUUCCAUAUAUUAGCCCGCACUGGACUGUGAGCCGCAGAUAUAUACAAACCCCGUUUCCAUAUGAAUUGGGAAAUUGUGUUAGAUGUAA